This 248-nucleotide ribosomal RNA is filed under the name uncultured bacterium. RNAcentral describes it as "partial 16S ribosomal RNA". It matches the Rfam family "Bacterial small subunit ribosomal RNA", at positions 523 to 769 of the family's 1533-position model. The record is from RNAcentral.
AUACGGAGGGUGCAAGCGUUAUCCGGAUUUAUUGGGUUUAAAGGGUGCGUAGGCGGUUUGAUAAGUCAGCGGUGAAAUAUUUCAGCUUAACUGGAAGGGUGCCGUUGAUACUGUCAGGCUUGAAUUUAGUUGCUGUGGGUGGAAUGUGUGGUGUAGCGGUGAAAUGCAUAGAUAUCACACAGAAUAUCGAUUGCGAAGGCAGCUCACAAAGCUAAAAUUAGACGCUGAUGCACGAAAGUGUGGGGAUC